This 174-nucleotide ribosomal RNA is filed under the name actinobacterium P22. RNAcentral describes it as "partial 16S ribosomal RNA". It matches the Rfam family "Bacterial small subunit ribosomal RNA", at positions 338 to 524 of the family's 1533-position model. RNAcentral also lists the same sequence under 2 other names. Lineage: Bacteria; Bacillati; Actinomycetota; Actinomycetes. The record is from RNAcentral.
CCUACGGGAGGCAGCAGUGGGGAAUAUUGCACAAUGGGCGAAAGCCUGAUGCAGCGACGCCGCGUGAGGGAUGACGGCCUUCGGGUUGUAAACCUCUUUCAGUAGGGAAGAAGCGAAAGUGACGGUACCUGCAGAAGAAGCGCCGGCUAACUACGUGCCAGCAGCCGCGGUAAU